Molecule: long non-coding RNA, 1213 nt
Filed under: Homo sapiens (human)
Lineage: Eukaryota; Metazoa; Chordata; Mammalia; Primates; Hominidae
Description: HSALNT0319477
Source: RNAcentral
GUGACUCUCGCCGGCGGGGAGGGGCGUGGACCCAAGAAGUCCCUGUGCGCUUGCGCAGAGACCGAACUACCGCUUUCCCCGUAACCAGGGAGACUGCAGUUUGCAGUGAUGUGGCUAAGAUACCCUUGUGCUAUUAAAGGCACAUUUACGUAUCUUUCAACGCAGUUUGUACCUUUGUUUAGGGUUCUAUUGAACUUUCUCUGUGCUCUUUAGAAAACCGUCGAAUAAAGGUAACCAUCUUUUUGGGUGCCUGGGCAUGGUCAUUGUCCCAGAGUUUUAACAGAAGUCUCUACUAAAGUAUCCUGAUUUGCAAGAACUCAAAUGAUGCUGUUUUUGGACAGGGAGGUCAUGGACCAAGUACAAAGCGGCAAAAGGAUGGAAUUAAGGUACCUGACAUUGUUGAACCCAUGCCUGAUGCCACAUUAGCUCAGGACUACCUACAUGGACAUGGAUAUUUCCAGUGAAAGAAAGAAGAAAGCAUGCUUUUCUCUUGACUGUGCAGAAAAAAAAACUAUGUUUCUUUGAUUCUCCAUUUUACUAGAUGCCAUACCUUUGCAAUUACUUCAUGUGGAGUCUUGACCAAGAUUCAGGAAAUACUAGAACUUUCAGUCCCAGAAGGUUACUCUGGGCAUUACUAGUCCCCAUCAUUAUGAGUUGAGUUUUACUAGUUAAUUUCAGACGAAAAAUAUUUGUUUUUCCCCAAAUUCUGGGGUUACGUACUUUUACUACCUAUGAACUGACAACUGUAUCUUCAGUAAUUACAAUUUCCAACAAAAUGUUAUAGGAAUAAAGAAAAGAUGUUAGUUCAUUAUUCAGAGUUUAUGUUUAUUCCUUUAAUAAAAAGAAAUGGUCUGUAUUUCUUCUUUUCACAUUUAUUUCCUCAGUUCAAACCUGCUUUUCAGGUUAUCCUAUGACUUGAAGUUGACUAAUUUGUUCACCUUAAUUAGUUGUGUUGCAAUAUAUAUGUAAUUAGCUAUUUGCAUUGCAACCUGCACAAAAUUAUUCCUGUUCAUAAACUACUGAGAGGAAAGGGGCUUAAAGUUCAAAGGAGUUUAAUUAUGGUCUUGUAACCAUAUAGAAAAUAUUUGAAUGUUACAUUGGCAUUGGCUCUAUUGCAUUAAAAGAAGUUAUGAAUGACGAAUUGGCAAAGAUUUGCAAGGUGAUGAGUUUAAUCUUGUCUGUAUAAACCUAGACAGAUUUGUUUGCCUAUAAA